GCCAGUUCCUGUAUGAUCACUGAAGUUAAGCAAUGUCGAGACUGGUUAGUACAUAGAUGGGUGACCACUUGGGAAUACCAGGUGCU
Acanthosepion pharaonis is the source of this 86-nucleotide non-coding RNA. NCBI's taxonomy places the organism in Eukaryota, Metazoa, Mollusca, Cephalopoda, Sepiida, Sepiidae. The record is from the annotation of a GenBank genome assembly.